CCUACGGGUGGCAGCAGUGAGGAAUAUUGGUCAAUGGUCGUGAGACUGAACCAGCCAAGUAGCGUGAAGGAUGACGGCCCUAAGGGUUGUAAACUUCUUUUAUCAGGGAAUAAAGUGCGGCACGUGUGCCGUUUUGUAUGUACCUCAUGAAUAAGGACCGGCUAAGUCCGUGCCAGCAGCCGCGGUAAUACGGAGGAUCCGAGCGUUAUCCGGAUUUAUUGGGUUUAAAGGGAGCGUAGGCGGGUUGUUAAGUGAGCCGUGAAAGGCCGUGGCUCAACCCUGGGACUGCGGUGGAAACUGGCAGUCUUGAGUGGGAGUGAGGUAGGCGGAAUGCGUGGUGUAGCGGUGAAAUGCUUAGAUAUCACGAAGAACUCCGAUUGCGAAGGCAGCAUACGG
Molecule: ribosomal RNA, 396 nt
Filed under: uncultured bacterium
Lineage: Bacteria
Description: partial 16S ribosomal RNA
Rfam family: Bacterial small subunit ribosomal RNA
Source: RNAcentral